Molecule: small nucleolar RNA, 114 nt
Filed under: Castor canadensis (American beaver)
Lineage: Eukaryota; Metazoa; Chordata; Mammalia; Rodentia; Castoridae
Description: Small nucleolar RNA SNORA32 (ENSCCNG00000027472.1)
Rfam family: Small nucleolar RNA SNORA32
About the family: ACA32 is a member of the H/ACA class of snoRNA that guide the sites of modification of uridines to pseudouridines.
Source: Rfam by way of RNAcentral
UGGUUAUUACCAAGGCUUUUAAAAUGUAGUUUCUCAUUUGUGUGGAUGUGACCAUAAAAAAUUUUCUAUGUUUUCUAUAUGCUACCUUGUUAGCAAUCAGUAUUGGGAACAGUA